GCUUAACUUGGGAAUUGCAUUCGAUACUGGGAAGCUAGAGUAUGGGAGAGGAUGGUAGAAUUCCAGGUGUAGCGGUGAAAUGCGUAGAGAUCUGGAGGAAUACCGAUGGCGAAGGCAGCCAUCUGGCCUAAUACUGACGCUGAGGUACGAAAGCAUGGGGAGCAAACAGGAUUAGAUACCCUGGUAGUCCAUGCCGUAAACGAUGUCUACUAGCCGUUGGGGCCUUUGAGGCUUUAGAGGCGCAGCUAACGCGAUAAGUAGACCGCCUGGGGAGUACGGUCGCAAGACUAAAACUCAAAUGAAUUGACGGGGGCCCGCACAAGCGGUGGAGCAUGUGGUUUAAUUCGAUGCAACGCGAAGAACCUUACCUGGUCUUGACAUAGUAAGAACUUUCCAGAGAUGGAUUGGUGCCUUCGGGAACUUACAUACAGGUGCUGCAUGGCUGUCGUCAGCUCGUGUCGUGAGAUGUUGGGUUAAGUCCCGCAACGAGCGCAACCCUUUUCCUUAUUUGCCAGCACUUCGGGUGGGAACUUUAAGGAUACUGCCAGUGACAAACUGGAGGAAGGCGGGGACGACGUCAAGUCAUCAUGGCCCUUACGACCAGGGCUACACACGUGCUACAAUGGUCGGUACAAAG
RNAcentral lists this ribosomal RNA (637 nucleotides) under uncultured bacterium. RNAcentral describes it as "bacterial SSU rRNA". It matches the Rfam family "Bacterial small subunit ribosomal RNA", at positions 607 to 1244 of the family's 1533-position model. The record is from RNAcentral.